Molecule: long non-coding RNA, 239 nt
Filed under: Lathyrus oleraceus (garden pea)
Lineage: Eukaryota; Viridiplantae; Streptophyta; Magnoliopsida; Fabales; Fabaceae
Description: Pisum sativum (pea) long non-coding RNA (PSAT_LNC041892)
Source: RNAcentral
UUUUAUUAAUUUCUGUUUUAAUUUUUUUUAUUCCAUUUUAUUUUAAAAAUUCAUAACUUCUUUAUUUGGAAUCACAAAAAUAUGGGACCAAUUGCAAAAAAUUUCUCUUAAAUUCUAGUUUCUAAAAAUUAUUUUUAAUUAUUUUUGUGAUUCCAUUAAUAUUUUUUGUGAAUUAUUUCUUUUCUGGUUGUUUUUAAUUCAUUUAAAAUACCUUUUGAUUUUCAAAAUCUCCAAAAAUA